CGAUAUCGACGAGUUUGUCAUGGCUCAGAACGAACGCUGGCGGCAGGCUUAACACAUGCAAGUCGAACGGUUGUAGCAAUACAGCAGUGGCAGACGGGUGAGUAACACGUGGGAACCUUCCUAGGGGUACGGAACAACUCAGGGAAACUUGAGCUAAUACCGUAUACGUCCGUGAGGAGAAAGAUUUAUCGCCCUUAGACGGGCCCGCGUCGGAUUAGCUAGUUGGUGGGGUAACGGCCUACCAAGGCGACGAUCCGUAGCUGAUCUUAGAGGAUGAUCAGCCACACUGGGACUGAGACACGGCCCAGACUCCUACGGGAGGCAGCAGUGGGGAAUCUUGGACAAUGGGCGCAAGCCUGAUCCAGCCAUGCCGCGUGAGUGAAGAAGGUCUUCGGAUUGUAAAGCUCUUUUACCAGGGACGAUAAUGACGGUACCUGGAGAAUAAGCCCCGGCAAACUUCGUG
Molecule: ribosomal RNA, 463 nt
Filed under: uncultured bacterium
Lineage: Bacteria
Description: bacterial SSU rRNA
Rfam family: Bacterial small subunit ribosomal RNA
Source: RNAcentral